GUGGGGAAUUUUGGACAAUGGGCGCAAGCCUGAUCCAGCAAUGCCGCGUGCAGGAAGAAGGCCUUCGGGUUGUAAACUGCUUUUGUACGGAACGAAACGGUCCGGGUUAAUACCCUGGGCUAAUGACGGUAACGUAAGAAUAAGCACCGGCUAACUACGUGCCAGCAGCCGCGGUAAUACGUAGGGUGCAAGCGUUAAUCGGAAUUACUGGGCGUAAAGCGUGCGCAGGCGGUUUUGUAAGACAGGCGUGAAAUCCCCGGGCUCAACCUGGGAAUUGCGCUUGUGACUGCAAGGCUGGAGUGCGGCAGAGGGGGAUGGAAUUCCGCGUGUAGCAGUGAAAUGCGUAGAUAUGCGGAGGAACACCGAUGGCGAAGGCAAUCCCCUGGGCCUGCACUGACGCUCAUGCACGAAAGCGUGGGGAGCAAACAGGAUUAGAAACCCCGGUAGUCC
This 450-nucleotide ribosomal RNA is filed under the name uncultured bacterium. RNAcentral describes it as "partial 16S ribosomal RNA". It matches the Rfam family "Bacterial small subunit ribosomal RNA", at positions 354 to 796 of the family's 1533-position model. The record is from RNAcentral.